Molecule: ribosomal RNA, 508 nt
Filed under: uncultured bacterium
Lineage: Bacteria
Description: partial 16S ribosomal RNA
Rfam family: Bacterial small subunit ribosomal RNA
Source: RNAcentral
GAUGAACGCUAGCUACAGGCUUAACACAUGCAAGUCGAGGGGAAACGAUAUUGGAAGCUUGCUUCCGAUAGGCGUCGACCGGCGCACGGGUGAGUAACGCGUAUCCAACCUGCCCAUCACUUGGGGAUAACCUUGCGAAAGUAAGACUAAUACCCAAUGACGUCUCUAGAAGACAUCUGAAAGAGAUUAAAGAUUUAUCGGUGAUGGAUGGGGAUGCGUCUGAUUAGCUUGUUGGCGGGGUAACGGCCCACCAAGGCGACGAUCAGUAGGGGUUCUGAGAGGAAGGUCCACCACAUUGGAACUGAGACACGGUCCAAACUCCUACGGGAGGCAGCAGUGAGGAAUAUUGGUCAAUGGGCGAGAGCCUGAACCAGCCAAGUAGCGUGCAGGAUGACGGCCCUAUGGGUUGUAAACUGCUUUUAUAAGGGAAUAAAGUGAGCCACGUGUGGCUUUUUGCAUGUACCUUAUGAAUAAGGACCGGCUAAUUCCGUGCCAGCAGCCGCAGUAA